This 628-nucleotide long non-coding RNA is filed under the name Pongo abelii (Sumatran orangutan). RNAcentral describes it as "lncRNA (ENSPPYG00000040083.1)". The record is from RNAcentral. Lineage: Eukaryota; Metazoa; Chordata; Mammalia; Primates; Hominidae.
AUUUUUUGAGAUGGAGUUUCGCUCUUGUCACCCAGGCUGGAGUACAAUGGCGUGGUCUUGGCUCACUGCAACCUCUGCCUCCUGGGUUCAAGCUAUUCUCCUGCCUCAACCUCCUGAGGAGCUGGGAUUACAGGCACCUGCCACCAUGCCUGGAUAAUUUUUUAUUUUUAAUAGAGAUGGGGUUUCACCAUGUUGGCCAUGAAUAGGCUCUAUUCUAAAGAAACUCACAAUAUACUAGCUAUUUCCAAUAAUGAUUAAAAAAAAGUGAAAGAAGACACUACAAAAUGAAGAGAAAGGCAGAGAAGGGUAAAAAUAAAUGCAGAAACCAAAAAGAGUAUCCCAAAGAACAGAGCAAGUUACAUGUAAAGUUCAGCAUCAGCAGUCUGGAAAUACCCAAAAGCGCCUCAUUGUCUGCACAGCAUGAAGCCUUCCCCUGACCUAAAUGGAUCAAGAAAAAUCAAAACUGCAAAUAUUUUUUUCAGAGCCAACUAUCUACUGGAUUUUGCUAAGAAAUUUGGUAAUUAAAAAUAUUCUUUAAGCUAUAGCCUUUACUUUCAAAGAGCCUGCAAUCUAAAUAUGAUCAAAGUUUACUGAAGUAUACACUGACACAUAACACCACUUGUUUUUC